This 252-nucleotide ribosomal RNA is filed under the name uncultured bacterium. RNAcentral describes it as "partial 16S ribosomal RNA". It matches the Rfam family "Bacterial small subunit ribosomal RNA", at positions 524 to 776 of the family's 1533-position model. The record is from RNAcentral.
UACGGAGGAUGCGAGCGUUAUCCGGAUUUAUUGGGUUUAAAGGGCGCGUGGGCGGACUGUCAAGUCAGCGGUAAAAUUGAGAGGCUCAACCUCUUCCCGCCGUUGAAACUGGUGGUCUUGAGUGGAUGAGAAGUACGCGGAAUGCGUGGUGUAGCGGUGAAAUGCAUAGAUAUCACGCAGAACUCCGAUUGCGAAGGCAGCGUACCGGCAUCCAACUGACGCUGAGGCACGAAAGCGUGGGGAUCAAACAGG